This 425-nucleotide ribosomal RNA is filed under the name uncultured bacterium. Its description in RNAcentral is "partial 16S ribosomal RNA". It matches the Rfam family "Bacterial small subunit ribosomal RNA", at positions 354 to 796 of the family's 1533-position model. The record is from RNAcentral.
GUGGGGAAUCUUGCGCAAUGGGCGAAAGCCUGACGCAGCCAUGCCGCGUGAAUGAUGAAGGUCUUAGGAUUGUAAAAUUCUUUCACCGGGGACGAUAAUGACGGUACCCGGAGAAGAAGCCCCGGCUAACUUCGUGCCAGCAGCCGCGGUAAUACGAAGGGGGCUAGCGUUGCUCGGAAUUACUGGGCGUAAAGGGCGCGUAGGCGGACAGUUUAGUCAGAGGUGAAAGCCCAGGGCUCAACCUUGGAAUUGCCUUUGAUACUGGGUGUCUUGAGUAUGGAAGAGGUAAGUGGAAUUCCGAGUGUAGAGGUGAAAUUCGUAGAUAUUCGGAGGAACACCAGUGGCGAAGGCGGCUCACUGGUCCAUUACUGACGCUGAGGUGCGAAAGCGUGGGGAGCAAACAGGAUUAGAAACCCGUGUAGUCC